This is a long non-coding RNA of Columba livia (rock pigeon), 1805 nucleotides long. RefSeq lists it as uncharacterized. The record is from RefSeq and is a predicted model, not a curated record. NCBI's taxonomy places the organism in Eukaryota, Metazoa, Chordata, Aves, Columbiformes, Columbidae. The transcript has 3 exons.
CAUCAAAGCGUCGUGGCAGAUUUCCCUUUGGAAGUCAGAGCCUGUUUCAAACGUCUCUUCAAGUCCUGCAUAUUUGGGGACUUGGGCCGGACGAGGUGGAGGCCUCUUCGUUUCUCUCCGUUGCAGCUCCCGAUCAUCCUGCUGACCUCCUGGCAGAGCUGCUGGAAGGCUUCAUGCACUCCCUCGCAGUUCUCCCGGGCUGAGACUUCGUAGCAGACACCCCUCUAACCACUGGGGAAUCUACCAGGGACAGGAGAAAUCUCCACUGUGACAGUAACGUGAUGACAGGCAUCAGAGAAAAUGGAAAUGGAAACUGAAGCUGUGGGAGCUUUGCUUAUUCUGUUCUGGAAGCUCAGGGUGGAAGAGUUCUACGGCACAGAAAUGAGCCCAUGUUUGAUGGGGACAAGAGUGUACCUAAUUUUAUCAUGAAAUCUCUGCUAUUCUCUGGGAAUUAUUUCUCUCGUGAGAUUUCCACCAUUCAUGUAAAAACAAACUUCACUACAUUUCCUGCUGCUUUGACAUUAUUUUUAUGCUCUUGUUCUGUAUGUGAAGCAGAUCUUCAAAAAAGAUAUCUUAAUCUUAGAUCCUGCUUGGAAAGAUAUUUCUAGAAACAGGUUCCUAGUCAAAUAUUAAAUCUAGAACACGGAUAGAGAAAGGGGUAUAGAUAAAUGUUCACACCUUUAAUAUAAGGAAUGAAUGAAAUAACAAUAAAAUAAAUAAAUAAAUUAAAGAGACCACUGAAAAACACCCUGUCUGGAAACAACAACUGCUGUAAGGCCUGUUCCUUUGGAAAGAAACACCUUUCUAGAGAAGAAAGAUUCUGGAUGUGUAGAUAGGUCUAAGCUGAGCCAGCUGGUCUCGUAGGCAGGUGAGUCUUCUGCCAUGCAACGACAGAAACCAUUUGACAGGAAAUAAAACAAUAAAGGAGUUGGCAGGAGUGAGCCAGACUAUGAUUUUACAGCUCUUUAGGCUUCAGAGGCAGUAAUGUGUUUUAAAUAGAUUUGUUUUAAUUCACUCUUAAAGGAGCCUGAUUUAAGCUCUUCAAGGGCUCAUUUUGGCAGGGCUUAAGGUACCCCUGUUAGUACUCAUUUAGAUUUGAGCCCAAGUGUGUUUCUGCAAAGCGGAGUUACAGAAGUGCUGGCAACAAACAAGAGACAGUAACUGUGCUGUAAGGACCCAUGCACUGAGCAGAUGUUUUACCUCCAGUGAAACAAAGGGAGUAUCCUGCACCUGUAGAGAGAUCUGUUCCCCAUCUAUGGUGAACUUCCUUGAAUACAAAGCACCUGGUGAAAAAGUAAGAUCAUAGGAGUCAGUGAUUAUAACAAGAAAGAGAACAUAAAGGUAAAAUGAAAGUGUUGAAAUCCAGACUUUGAGGCUUCUGAUACGUACCUGCUUAUAGAGAACUGGACGGCAGCAGAGCGGUUGUGUGGCUGUUUACUUCAGUAAAGCAGUUUUGUAUUUGUUGUGUGGUUGGAGGUUUUGGAUGUAUACCUAGGGUGGUAUCUGGGAAAGGUGGCACCUUGUGUUGAAUUAAAUAGUCAAACUGGGCGCAUAAAUCCCAUUUGGGGUUUCAGUCCAUAUUUUUAACCUCUUAAAAUGUGAACUGCAUAUAUUUUUAAUCUUAAACCAAGAUUAAAGGCGUUGCCUGUAAAAGGACUGAUCUGUUUCCUCUUCCUAUUCUUGGAAAGUUUUUAAAAAAGAAAUGUAUUCCAGUUUUGGACACAGAGUGACUGUACAUGAAACACCCAGAUGCUGUUUGGGAUUUGUGUGACCUUAGCAGUAAGGGGUUGGUUGAAAUCCCCAAU